RNAcentral lists this ribosomal RNA (253 nucleotides) under uncultured bacterium. RNAcentral's name for it is "partial 16S ribosomal RNA". It matches the Rfam family "Bacterial small subunit ribosomal RNA", at positions 524 to 776 of the family's 1533-position model. The record is from RNAcentral.
UACGUAGGGUGCGAGCGUUGCCCGGAUUUAUUGGGCGUAAAGGGCGCGUAGGCGGCUCGGCACGUCCGUUGUGAAAUCGCCCGGCUCAACUGGGCGGGGUCAGCGGAUACGGUCGAGCUUGAGCAAGCUAGGGGGUAAUGGAAUUCCCGGUGUAGUGGUGGAAUGCGUAGAUAUCGGGAGGAACACCCGUGGCGAAGGCGGUUCUCUGGGACGGUACUGACGCUGAGACGCGAAAGCGUGGGGAGCGAACAGG